CCAGACUCCUACGGGAGGCAGCAGUGAGGAAUAUUGGUCAAUGGACGCAAGUCUGAACCAGCCAAGUAGCGUGCAGGAUGACGGCCCUCCGGGUUGUAAACUGCUUUUAGUUGGGAAUAAAAGGGGGCUCGUGAGCCCCGUAUUGUAUGUACCAUCAGAAAAAGGACCGGCUAAUUCCGUGCCAGCAGCCGCGGUAAUACGGAAGGUCCGGGCGUUAUCCGGAUUUAUUGGGUUUAAAGGGAGCGUAGGCCGGCUUUUAAGUCAGCUGUGAAAGUCCGCGGCUCAACCGUGGAAUUGCAGUUGAAACUGGAGGCCUUGAGUGCACACAGGGAUGCCGGAAUUCAUGGUGUAGCGGUGAAAUGCUUAGAUAUCAUGAAGAACUCCGAUCGCGAAGGCAAGUGUCCGGGGUGCAACUGACGCUGAGGCUCGAAAGUGCGGGUAUCAAACAGGAUUAGAUACCCGAGUA
This 466-nucleotide ribosomal RNA is filed under the name uncultured bacterium. RNAcentral describes it as "bacterial SSU rRNA". It matches the Rfam family "Bacterial small subunit ribosomal RNA", at positions 331 to 792 of the family's 1533-position model. The record is from RNAcentral.